This 253-nucleotide ribosomal RNA is filed under the name uncultured bacterium. RNAcentral's name for it is "partial 16S ribosomal RNA". It matches the Rfam family "Bacterial small subunit ribosomal RNA", at positions 524 to 776 of the family's 1533-position model. The record is from RNAcentral.
UACGUAGGCAGCAAGCGUUGUUCGGAAUUACUGGGCGUAAAGAGUGUGUAGGCGGUGCUCUAAGUUUGGUGUGAAAUCUCCCGGCUCAACUGGGAGGGUGCGCCGAAAACUGGAAUGCUUGAACAUGGGGGAGGAAAGCGGAAUUCCUGGUGUAGCGGUGAAAUGCGUAGAUAUCAGGAGGAACACCUGCGGUGUAGACGGCUUUCUGGACCAUUGUUGACGCUGAGACACGAAAGCGUGGGUAGCAAACAGG